GGGCCCGCACAAGCGGUGGAGCAUGUGGUUUAAUUCGAUGCAACGCGAAGAACCUUACCUACUCUUGACAUCCAGAGAACUUAGCAGAGAUGCUUUGGUGCCUUCGGGAACUCUGAGACAGGUGCUGCAUGGCUGUCGUCAGCUCGUGUUGUGAAAUGUUGGGUUAAGUCCCGCAACGAGCGCAACCCUUAUCCUUGUUUGCCAGCACUUCGGGUGGGAACUCCAGGGAGACUGCCGGUGAUAAACCGGAGGAAGGUGGGGACGACGUCAAGUCAUCAUGGCCCUUACGAGUAGGGCUACACACGUGCUACAAUGGCGUAUACAGAGGGCUGCCAACUCGCGAGAGUGAGCGAAUCCCAGAAAGUACGUCGUAGUCCGGAUUGGAGUCUGCAACUCGACUCCAUGAAGUCGGAAUCGCUAGUAAUCGUGAAUC
Molecule: ribosomal RNA, 433 nt
Filed under: uncultured bacterium
Lineage: Bacteria
Description: bacterial SSU rRNA
Rfam family: Bacterial small subunit ribosomal RNA
Source: RNAcentral